UACACGCUGUGACUAGCAUAUCAAUAAGCGGAGGAAAAGAAACUAACAAGGAUUCCCCUAGUAACGGCGAGUGAAGCGGGAAGAGCUCAAAUUUGAAAUCUUAAAGGGUUUCCCUUUACGAAUUGUAGUUUAAAGAAGUGUUUUCUGUUGAGGUUUUGGUAAAAGUUCUUUGGAAUAGGACAUCAUAGAGGGUGAGAAUCCCGUAUUUGACCUUUACUUUCAACUUUGUGAUACACUUUCAAAGAGUCGGAUUGUUUGGGAAUGCAGUCCAAAAUGGGUGGUAAAUUUCAUCUAAAGCUAAAUAUUGGCGAGAGACCGAUAGCGAACAAGUACCGUGAGGGAAAGAUGAAAAGAACUUUGAAAAGAGAGUUAAACAGUACGUGAAAUUGUCAAAAGGGAAGCGUUUGACACCAGUGUUGUUUUUCUGAAAAUCAAUUAAAGAACUGUUUAUGCUAAGUUGUUUAGACUUUAUCAGCUAACUGUUUAGUUUUGAGCUUUUCUUUAACGCACUUUUCAGUUAACAAGUCAACAUCAAUUUCUUUUGCUGUAAAAAAGCUUGAGGAAGGUGGCUUGAGAUUCGUCUUAAGUGUUUAUAGCCUCUUGCCUAUGCAGUCGGAGAGAUUGAGGUCUGCAGCGUAGAUCCUUCGGGGCUAAAUGCAUUUGUGCUAAGUUAUAGCAUUUUAUAGACAACUUGUUGACUAUGAUUUGUCUUGUAGCUUACUCGCUCAUGUUAGUUUUACCUACGCUUAGGAUGUUGAUAUGCAUGACUGAUAU
Molecule: ribosomal RNA, 774 nt
Filed under: uncultured Neocallimastigales
Lineage: Eukaryota; Fungi; Neocallimastigomycota; Neocallimastigomycetes; Neocallimastigales
Description: partial large subunit ribosomal RNA
Rfam family: Eukaryotic large subunit ribosomal RNA
Source: RNAcentral